RNAcentral lists this long non-coding RNA (227 nucleotides) under Lathyrus oleraceus (garden pea). Its description in RNAcentral is "Pisum sativum (pea) long non-coding RNA (PSAT_LNC033803)". The record is from RNAcentral. Lineage: Eukaryota; Viridiplantae; Streptophyta; Magnoliopsida; Fabales; Fabaceae.
GAUUAGCAUUAACAUUCGGUGAUGGUGCAAAAUUGAUGGCCUUGGAGUCUACCAAAUCCUGGACAACAUGCUUGAAAGCUUUGCAAUCCUCAACAUGAUGUCCGGGUGCCCCAGCAUGGAACUCACACCUGACAUUCUCAUCAUAACUGGCAACCCUCUGAUCCGGUUUCCCUGGAACCAAUAUCCUCGGCUGCACCAACCCAAGAUCCUUCAACUUUUUAAACAGA